UGGGGAAUAUUGCGCAAUGGGCGAAAGCCUGACGCAGCGACGCCGCGUGAGGGAUGAAGGUUUUCGGAUCGUAAACCUCUGUCAGAAGGGAAGAAACCGCACUGUGCUAAUCAGCAGUGCCUUGACGGUACCUUCAAAGGAAGCACCGGCUAACUCCGUGCCAGCAGCCGCGGUAAUACGGAGGGUGCAAGCGUUAAUCGGAAUUACUGGGCGUAAAGCGCACGCAGGCGGUUUGUUAAGUCAGAUGUGAAAUCCCCGGGCUCAACCUGGGAACUGCAUCUGAUACUGGCAAGCUUGAGUCUCGUAGAGGGGGGUAGAAUUCCAGGUGUAGCGGUGAAAUGCGUAGAGAUCUGGAGGAAUACCGGUGGCGAAGGCGGCCCCCUGGACGAAGACUGACGCUCAGGUGCGAAAGCGUGGGGAGCAAACAGG
Molecule: ribosomal RNA, 429 nt
Filed under: Fusobacteriota bacterium
Lineage: Bacteria; Fusobacteriati; Fusobacteriota
Description: Fusobacteria bacterium partial 16S ribosomal RNA
Rfam family: Bacterial small subunit ribosomal RNA
Source: RNAcentral